GCGCGAAAACUUUACGAUGCUGGCAACAGCGAUAAGGGAACCUCGAGUGCCAGGUUACAAAUCUGGCUGUCGAGAUGCCUAAAAAGCAUUUCAUAGCAAGGGCCGGGCAAGACCGGUGCCAGCCGCCGCGGUAACACCGGCGGCUCGAGUGGUAACCGUUAUUAUUGGGUCUAAAGGGUCUGUAGCCGGCCGGAUAAGUCUCUUGAGAAAUCUGGCAGCUUAACUGUCAGGCUUUCAGGAGAUACUGUCUGGCUCGAGGCCGGGAGAGGUGAGAGGUACUUCAGGGGUAGGGGUGAAAUCUUGUAAUCCUUGAAGGACCACCAGUGGCGAAGGCGUCUCACCAGAACGGACCUGACGGCAAGGGACGAAAGCUAGGGGCACGAA
This 384-nucleotide ribosomal RNA is filed under the name uncultured bacterium. Its description in RNAcentral is "bacterial SSU rRNA". It matches the Rfam family "Archaeal small subunit ribosomal RNA", at positions 339 to 723 of the family's 1478-position model. The record is from RNAcentral.